ACGAACGCUGGCGGCGUGCUUAACUCAUGCAAGUCGAACGGAAAGGCCCCUUUGGGGGUCCUCGAGUGGCGAACGGGUGAGUAACACGUGAGUAACCUGCCCUUGACUUCGGGAUAACUUCAGGAAACUGGGGCUAAUACCGGAUAGGAAUCCUUGCUGCAUGGUGGGGGUUGGAAAGCUUCGGCGGUUUUGGAUGGACUCGCGGCUUAUCAGCUUGUUGGUGGGGUAGUGGCUUACCAAGGCUUUGACGGGUAGCCGGCCUGAGAGGGCGACCGGCCACAUUGGGACUGAGAUACGGCCCAGACUCCUACGGGAGGCAGCAGUGGGGAAGAUUGCACAAUGGGCGGAAGCCUGAUGCAGCAACGCCGCGUGCGGGAUGACGGCCUUCGGGUUGUAAACCGCUUUCAGCAGGGGCGAAGCUUGUGGUGACGGUACCUGCAGAAGAAGCACCGGCUAACUACGUG
This 464-nucleotide ribosomal RNA is filed under the name uncultured bacterium. RNAcentral describes it as "partial 16S ribosomal RNA". It matches the Rfam family "Bacterial small subunit ribosomal RNA", at positions 29 to 507 of the family's 1533-position model. The record is from RNAcentral.